This 462-nucleotide ribosomal RNA is filed under the name uncultured bacterium. RNAcentral's name for it is "bacterial SSU rRNA". It matches the Rfam family "Bacterial small subunit ribosomal RNA", at positions 335 to 790 of the family's 1533-position model. The record is from RNAcentral.
ACUCCUACGGGAGGCAGCAGUGGGGAAUAUUGCACAAUGGGCGCAAGCCUGAUGCAGCCAUGCCGCGUGUGUGAAGAAGGCCUUCGGGUUGUAAAGCACUUUCAGUCGUGAGGAAGGUAGUGUAGUUAAUAGCUGCAUUAUUUGUACGUUAGCGACAGAAGAAGCACCGGCUAACUCCGUGCCAGCAGCCGCGGUAAUACGGAGGGUGCGAGCGUUAAUCGGAAUUACUGGGCGUAAAGCGCAUGCAGGUGGUUUGUUAAGUCAGAUGUGAAAGCCCGGGGCUCAACCUCGGAAUAGCAUUUGAAACUGGCAGACUAGAGUACUGUAGAGGGGGUUAGAAUUUCAGGUGUAGCGGUGAAAUGCGUAGAGAUCUGAAGGAAUACCGGUGGCGAAGGCGGCCCCUGGACAGAUACUGACACUCAGAUGCGAAAGCGUGGGAGCAAACAGGAUUAGAUACCCCGU